UACGGGAGGCAGCAGUGGGGAAUAUUGCACAAUGGGCGAAAGCCUGAUGCAGCUAUGCCGCGUGUAUGAAGAAGGCCUUAGGGUUGUAAAGUACUUUCAUCGGGGAGGAAAAACAAAACUAAUAAUUUUAUUUCUUGACGUUACCCGAAAAAGAAGCACCGGCUAACUCCGUGCCAGCAGCCGCGGUAAUACGGAGGGUGCUAGCGUUAAUCAGAAUUACUGGGCGUAAAGAGCACGUAGGUGGUUUUUUUAAGUCAGAUGUGAAAUCCCCUGGGGCUUAACCUGGAACUGCAUUUUGAAACUGAAAUACUAGAGUAUCGUAGAGGGAGGUAGAAUUCUAGGUGUAGCGGUGAAAUGCGUAGAUAUCUGGAGGAAUACCUGUGGCGAAAGCGGCCUCCUAAACGAAUACUGACACUGAGGUGCGAAAAGCGUGGGGAGCAAACAGGGAUUAGAUACC
Molecule: ribosomal RNA, 457 nt
Filed under: uncultured bacterium
Lineage: Bacteria
Description: bacterial SSU rRNA
Rfam family: Bacterial small subunit ribosomal RNA
Source: RNAcentral